AACGAACGCUGGCGGCAUGCCUAACACAUGCAAGUCGAACGAGACCUUCGGGUCUAGUGGCGCACGGGUGCGUAACGCGUGGGAACCUGCCCUUAGGUUCGGAAUAACUCCCCGAAAGGGGUGCUAAUACCGGAUAAUGUCUUCGGACCAAAGAUUUAUCGCCUUUGGAUGGGCCCGCGUUGGAUUAGCUAGUUGGUAGGGUAAAAGCCUACCAAGGCGACGAUCCAUAGCUGGUCUGAGAGGAUGAUCAGCCACACUGGGACUGAGACACGGCCCAGACUCCUACGGGAGGCAGCAGUGGGGAAUAUUGGACAAGGGGCGAAAGCCUGAUCCAGCAAUGCCGCGUGAGUGAUGAAGGCCUUAGGGUUGUAAAGCUCUUUUACACGGGAUGAUAAUGACAGUACCGGGAGAAUAAGCUCCGGCUAACUACGUG
RNAcentral lists this ribosomal RNA (433 nucleotides) under uncultured bacterium. Its description in RNAcentral is "partial 16S ribosomal RNA". It matches the Rfam family "Bacterial small subunit ribosomal RNA", at positions 29 to 507 of the family's 1533-position model. The record is from RNAcentral.